UACGUAGGUGGCAAGCGUUGUCCGGAUUUAUUGGGUUUAAAGGGUGCGUAGGCGGCCUUGUAAGUCAGUGCUGAAAUAUCCCGGCUUAACCGGGAGGGUGGCAUUGAUACUGCAGGGCUUGAGUAAAGUUGAGGUUGGCGGAAUUGACGGUGUAGCGGUGAAAUGCUUAGAUAUCGUCAAGAACACCGAUAGUGAAGACAGCUAACUAAGCUUUAACUGACGCUGAGGCACGAAAGUGUGGGGACCAAACAGG
Molecule: ribosomal RNA, 253 nt
Filed under: uncultured bacterium
Lineage: Bacteria
Description: partial 16S ribosomal RNA
Rfam family: Bacterial small subunit ribosomal RNA
Source: RNAcentral